This is a non-coding RNA of Arachis ipaensis, 329 nucleotides long. The record is from RefSeq and is a predicted model, not a curated record. NCBI's taxonomy places the organism in Eukaryota, Viridiplantae, Streptophyta, Magnoliopsida, Fabales, Fabaceae.
UUAGUGAUUAUUAUAAAAUUAUAUAUAAAGUAACAUUUCUAAUGAAAUAUUAGUAAAUAUAUAUAAUUUUUUUUAAAAACUUCAAAAAUGUUACCUAUUCCUAUAACACUCUGGACGGAGACCUAGCCUAAUGAAACGGAAGAAAGAUCAGGAACCAGUCAUAGCUCUCAAUCUCACUCCAAAUCUCGUUCUCCUUCGCACUCUUUCUCUCAAUCUCACUGGCGCUCUCGAUUGUGCUCCUCCGCUCUUUGAAUCUCUCUCUCGUUUCAACAAAUUCUAGGGUUGGAUUUGUUAUUCUCUGUUUUGAGAAAUAAUUGAAGAGGGGCCGA